GGACUGGUUUGCCCACUCAUGUAGGAGAAUGUUUUUAGACAUUCGUCUCAUAAAUUGAUGACCUUUACAUUGAUCUUAUCUCCAUGAGCAGGGGUGAAGGAAGACAACAGUAAAUGCGCCACAACCUGGAGCCAUGCAGUGUGAGGCACAAGAGCAGCAAGUGAGAGGAUUCGGGUUGCGUGUCAAGUGAAGCAUCUUGAGGUGAUGUGCGCUAGACUACAAGGUUCAAGAGAAAAAUGACCAUUGUGCUGUCAGACUAAGAGGAGAAGAUUCAUUUUCGGCAUCGCUUCACCCGAGAUGAUCUCAUUACUUUGUGUGAGUGGACAAUCACAGCAUUGAGCUGAGCCUCCACCCUCAGUGGUGCUUCUUUGCUGCUGCAUAUUGAUUUUACUUUCUAAUAUAAAGACGAGCAGG
This is a long non-coding RNA of Corythoichthys intestinalis (scribbled pipefish), 414 nucleotides long. RefSeq lists it as uncharacterized. The record is from RefSeq and is a predicted model, not a curated record. NCBI's taxonomy places the organism in Eukaryota, Metazoa, Chordata, Actinopteri, Syngnathiformes, Syngnathidae. The transcript is spliced from 3 exons.